UUGAAGAGUUUGAUCAUGGCUCAGAUUGAACGCUGGCGGCAGGCUUAACACAUGCAAGUCGAGCGGUAACAGGAGUAGCUUGCUACUCGCUGACGAGCGGCGGACGGGUGAGUAACGCGUAGAAAACUGCCCAGUAGUGGGGGAUAGCCCGGGGAAACUCGGAUUAAUACCGCAUACGCUCUACGGAGGAAAGGGGGCUUAGGCUCUCGCUAUUGGAUGUGUCUGCGUGAGAUUAGCUAGUUGGUGAGGUAAGGGCUCACCAAGGCGACGAUCUCUAGCUGGUCUGAGAGGAUGAUCAGCCACACCGGAACUGAGA
This 316-nucleotide ribosomal RNA is filed under the name Scrippsiella trochoidea. RNAcentral's name for it is "partial Bacterial small subunit ribosomal RNA". It matches the Rfam family "Bacterial small subunit ribosomal RNA", at positions 1 to 324 of the family's 1533-position model. The record is from RNAcentral. Lineage: Eukaryota; Dinophyceae; Peridiniales; Peridiniaceae.